GACGAACGCUGGCGGCGUGCCUAAUACAUGCAAGUAGAACGCUGAAGAGAGGAGCUUGCUCUUCUUGGAUGAGUUGCGAACGGGUGAGUAACGCGUAGGUAACCUGCCUUGUAGCGGGGGAUAACUAUUGGAAACGAUAGCUAAUGCCGCAUAACGAUGGAUGACACAUGUCAUUUAUUUGAAAGGGGCAAUUGCUCCACUACAAGAUGGACCUGCGUUGUAUUAGCUAGUAGGUGAGGUAACGGCUCACCUAGGCGACGAUACAUAGCCGACCUGAGAGGGUGAUCGGCCACACUGGGACUGAGACACGGCCCAGACUCCUACGGGAGGCAGCAGUAGGGAAUCUUCGGCAAUGGGGGCAACCCUGACCGAGCAACGCCGCGUGAGUGAAGAAGGUUUUCGGAUCGUAAAACUCUGUUGUAAGUCAAGAACGAGUGUGAGAGUGGAAAGUUCACACUGUGACGGUAGCUUACCAGAAAGGGACGGCUAACUACGUGCCAGCAGCCGCGGUAAUACGUAGGUCCCGAGCGUUGUCCGGAUUUAUUGGGCGUAAAGCGAGCGCAGGCGGUUUGAUAAGUCUGAAGUUAAAGGCUGUGGCCCAACCAUAGUUCGCUUUGGAAACUGUCAAACUUGAGUGCAGAAGGGGAGAGUGGAAUUCCAUGUGUAGCAGUGAAAUGCGUAGAUAUAUGGAGGAACACCGGUGGCGAAAGCGGCUCUCUGGUCUGUAACUGACGCUGAGGCUCGAAAGCGUGGGGAGCGAACAGGAUUAGAUACCCUGGUAGUCCACGCCGUAAACGAUGAGUGCUAGGUGUUGGAUCCUUUCCGGGAUUCAGUGCCGCAGCUAACGCAUUAAGCACUCCGCCUGGGGAGUACGACCGCAAGGUUGAAACUCAAAGGAAUUGACGGGGGCCCGCACAAGCGGUGGAGCAUGUGGUUUAAUUCGAAGCAACGCGAAGAACCUUACCAGGUCUUGACAUCCCGAUGCUAUUUCUAGAGAUAGAAAGUUACUUCGGUACAUCGGUGACAGGUGGUGCAUGGUUGUCGUCAGCUCGUGUCGUGAGAUGUUGGGUUAAGUCCCGCAACGAGCGCAACCCCUAUUGUUAGUUGCCAUCAUUCAGUUGGGCACUCUAGCGAGACUGCCGGUAAUAAACCGGAGGAAGGUGGGGAUGACGUCAAAUCAUCAUGCCCCUUAUGACCUGGGCUACACACGUGCUACAAUGGUUGGUACAACGAGUUGCGAGUCGGUGACGGCAAGCUAAUCUCUUAAAGCCAAUCUCAGUUCGGAUUGUGGGCUGCAACUCGCCUACAUGAAGUCGGAAUCGCUAGUAAUCGCGGAUCAGCACGCCGCGGUGAAUACGUUCCCGGGCCU
Molecule: ribosomal RNA, 1369 nt
Filed under: uncultured bacterium
Lineage: Bacteria
Description: bacterial SSU rRNA
Rfam family: Bacterial small subunit ribosomal RNA
Source: RNAcentral